This 507-nucleotide ribosomal RNA is filed under the name uncultured bacterium. RNAcentral describes it as "partial 16S ribosomal RNA". It matches the Rfam family "Bacterial small subunit ribosomal RNA", at positions 28 to 507 of the family's 1533-position model. The record is from RNAcentral.
GACGAACGCUGGCGGCGUGCCUAAUACAUGCAAGUCGAACGCAUUGUCUUUCAACGUAGCUUGCUACACCGAAAGAAAGUGGGGGGCGAACGGGGGAGUAACACGUGGGUAACCUGCCCAUCAGCGGGGGAUAACACUUGGAAACAGGUGCUAAUACCGCAUAAUUCCAUUUACCGCAGGGUAGAUGGGUGAAAGGCGCUUUUGCGGCACUGAUGGAUGGACCCGCGGUGCAUUAGCUAGUUGGUGGGGUAACGGCCUACCAAGGCUGCGAUGCAUAGCCGACCUGGGAGGGUGGUCGGCCAACCUGGGACCGAGAACACGCCCCGACCCCUUAGGGAGGGAGGCGUAGGGAAUCUUCGGGCAUGGACGGAAGUCUGACCGAGGCACGCCGCGUGAGUGAAGAAGGUUUUCGGAUUGUAAAAAUCUGUUGUUAGAGAAGAACAAGGAUGAGAGUGGAAAGUUCAUCCCUUGACGGUAUCUAAUCAGAAAGCCACGGCUAACUACGUG